GUUGGUUUUUCCUCAAGAUUGACUAACAUCCGAAGCCCUGACUAUCGCAAGUAGUUGGGGCUUCAACA
Molecule: non-coding RNA, 68 nt
Filed under: Cronobacter phage ES2
Lineage: Duplodnaviria; Heunggongvirae; Uroviricota; Caudoviricetes
Source: RNAcentral